This 329-nucleotide ribosomal RNA is filed under the name uncultured eukaryote. RNAcentral's name for it is "partial 18S ribosomal RNA". It matches the Rfam family "Eukaryotic small subunit ribosomal RNA", at positions 1470 to 1796 of the family's 1831-position model. The record is from RNAcentral.
CCCUUAGAUGUUCUGGGCCGCACGCGCGCUACACUGACUGACUCAACGAGUUUACAACCUGUGCCGAAAGGUAUGGGUAAUCUUUUGAAAUUCAGUCGUGAUGGGGCUAGAUUAUUGCAACUAUUAAUCUUCAACGAGGAAUGCCUAGUAAGCGUGAUUCAUCAAAUCGCGUUGAUUACGUCCCUGCCCUUUGUACACACCGCCCGUCGCUCCUACCGAUUGAAUGUGUUGGUGAGGAGCUCGGAUUGGCAGCAGUUGGUGGUUCGCCACCGGCUAUUGCUGAGAAGUCCUCCAAACCGCCCCAUUUAGAGGAAGGAGAAGUCGUAACA